Molecule: small RNA, 618 nt
Filed under: Pongo abelii (Sumatran orangutan)
Lineage: Eukaryota; Metazoa; Chordata; Mammalia; Primates; Hominidae
Description: retained intron
Source: RNAcentral
AAGACUCCGUCUCAAAAAAAACAAAAACAAAAACUAUCUUCAAUUAUUUUAAGACCCAGCAUUUGAAUACCUUUCGGCGGGGGUUGGGGGGUGGUUUGUAAGCUGUAGAAAAUGGCUGUGUGAAAUAGCCAUAUAAAUAGAGUGAAAUAGAAUUGGGAAAAUUUUCUUUCAAAGUGAAUGUCAGGUAUAUCUUUAUCUCGUUCUUCAAAUUAAAAUUAAACUUAAAAUGUUUAAAUUGGUAUUGAAAUGAAUGUGUAAUACAAGUCACAUGUAAUAGAGCACACUUGUAUGGAGAAUCAUCCCCGUGUGAAUAUCUAAGAAGGUAAGCAGCUUGACUACUGAAUACAAGUGAAUUUUAGGUGAACUUGCAUUUCCCGUGUGUGACAUGUUUGUUUGGUUUUUCAGAUCUUACCAAUAUAUUUGAGUCCUUCCUGCCUCAGUUGUUGGCCUAUCCUAACCCCAUAGAUCCUCUCAAUGGUGACGCUGCAGCCAUGUACCUCCACCGACCAGAAGAAUACAAGCAGAAAAUUAAAGAGUACAUCCAGAAAUACGCCACGGAGGAGGCGCUGAAAGAACAGGAAGAGGGUACCGGGGACAGCUCAUCGGAGAGCUCUAUGU